GGUGCUCGACUCUGCACCAGCUGAUGUAGCGCUGGCAGCUGCUGCUGCUCCAGCUGAGAUCCUCAAAACCCCUCGCUGUGCUUUCCUCCUUAGGGCACUGUGCAGCGGGGAACUCAAGAUGAAGCACAUUCUUCAAAAAGAUCUAUACUCUGGCCCCAUCAAUAUCCACUUUUAUACUGAUGCUUUUAAGAAACUGCCAGUCAGGAAUAACAAGAUUCUCUGAUCCAGGCUCAGCUUCGAGGAAAGAGAGGAAAAAGAAGCAGCACUGGUCACACCUGAAGGUAUCUUCACACAACUGAAUUAUGCAUACUUUUCUCAUUAUUUUUAAGCAAUGAACUUGAGUUCUUUGUUUAUCAUCUCCCUCUCAGCUUGAAUUUGCUGCCUCAUAUGGUUCUGCUCA
Long non-coding RNA from Calidris pygmaea (Spoon-billed sandpiper), 400 nucleotides. The record is from Ensembl. Lineage: Eukaryota; Metazoa; Chordata; Aves; Charadriiformes; Scolopacidae.